RNAcentral lists this long non-coding RNA (1036 nucleotides) under Mus pahari (shrew mouse). RNAcentral describes it as "lncRNA (MGP_PahariEiJ_G0005405.1)". The record is from RNAcentral. Lineage: Eukaryota; Metazoa; Chordata; Mammalia; Rodentia; Muridae.
GGGCAGAGAAGUAGGAAAGGCAAACUUCAGGAGUUCCUUCCUACUGGGCAAGGGUAGAAGCAGCCAGGCUUGCUCCCCUGAAGGCUGUGUGAAAAGCUCUAGACAACCGCAAGCAUUCCAUUCACCAGCAUCACUUUGUGGUUCUGUGAAUGGUCACUGCCAGAGCUGCCAAGGACCUGAGGAGGAUCCAGGGUGGGACCCAGGAGCCAGCGCAACCUUCUUUCUCAGUGGAGACUCCUUGUGCCUCACAAAGCAUUCUCUGUGGGUUUUCAUUGCAUUUGAGAGAGGCACGCGCUUGCAACCACUCAUUUCUUCAGCUCCUGUUCUUGCCACAGAUCUAACCAUAUCCGUAAUUGCCCUCCUAGCAGAGGGCUGUUUUGUUGAAACAAACCUCCUUAGCAACAAGUUGCAUUCGGUAAUUCCGCUAGCCACUCGGUUUCCCUUCCCCAAGUCCCGGAUUCCCUGGGCCCUUGGGAGUCCUGAGUUUGGACAUGGAUUGCUGGAGAAGGGUGCUUGCAGUCUCUGGAACCACUUAGCUGCAAGAAGACAUUGUUACACAGUGAGGUUUUUCUGGGAAUGUAAGAAAGGCCCUAAAGUCAUGCCGCCUUCUGAUCUUCUGUGGUCAUGCUAGAUCUACUGAGAGACAGCCUUCUUUAUCCAAGAGAAGAUAACCGGGAAAGCUCACACACAGCAUCUCCUCAAAAUAUUUGACAGACCGCAACAAACUGCAACCACCCACUACUCAGCUGCCAGCAGCAGCAGGUCCUUCUCGAAUUUAUCUAUCCACCAAGAAGUCCUCAGAAUCCUAAAUGUCACGCAUUUGCAGAAACCACACAUCUGCAGCUGGCAAAACCACACCCCUGCUAGAGCACAGGGCAAAUCAUAGUCAUGUGCUGCAAAGCAGCCCUGGAUCCCACACCUGGGACUAAAACAAAAAUGUUUAUAUUUCUGUGUUUUAAAAGAAACCAAAAUUCUCACUACAGUUAGUCUAGGGAAAUUUGGUGGAAAAUGUCGAUAAAGAUAGCCAUUAAAUGUC